RNAcentral lists this ribosomal RNA (301 nucleotides) under uncultured bacterium. RNAcentral describes it as "bacterial SSU rRNA". It matches the Rfam family "Bacterial small subunit ribosomal RNA", at positions 505 to 805 of the family's 1533-position model. The record is from RNAcentral.
GUGUCAGCCGCCGCGGUAAUACGUAGGGUGCAAGCGUUAAUCGGAAUUACUGGGCGUAAAGCGUGCGCAGGCGGUUUUGUAAGACAGGCGUGAAAUCCCCGGGCUCAACCUGGGAACUGCGUUUAUGACUGGCAGGCUAGAGUAUGGCAGAGGGGGGUGGAAUUCCGCGUGUAGCAGUGAAAUGCGUAGAGAUCGGGAGGAACAUCUGUGGCGAAGGCGGCCACCUGGACCAGCACUGACGCUCAGGCACGAAAGCGUGGGGAGCAAACAGGAUUAGAUACCCUGGUAGUCCACGCCCUAA